UCUGCUUCCAGGCGCUCCUAAGGGGUCAGA
RNAcentral lists this non-coding RNA (30 nucleotides) under Homo sapiens (human). Lineage: Eukaryota; Metazoa; Chordata; Mammalia; Primates; Hominidae. The record is from RNAcentral.